GGUAAUUUUUGGUAUUUGGCUUUCUUAUUAGGAUUAGUAUUAUUUCUCUAUACGAGUCUUAUGAAGGGAGAUUUGUAAUUUGAAAAUUUAGAAUUAUAUAAAUUUUUUAGCAUUGUUUUUUCCAUUGUGUGUUCUUAUUUUCUUUGUCGUUCUACAUCUCAUUUACUUGCAAAAUUGAGGAUUUCUACCUUCUCUAUCUGAAUUGGAGAUCAUUCAAUGUUGAGUGAGAUAAGAACAAAACAUUAAUAUUAAAAAUCUGUCCAGCUUAUCCUAUAGAAAUCAUUUAAUGUACUCCAUCAUUAAAGAAGUUCUACUAUGACCUAAAAAUCUGUGUAUACUCUGAAGAGGAGGUAAAUCAUCAUUAAUCCAAGUUGUAUGUAAUUUCUCAUCUUGGGAGAUACUUUAUCUGCAUUAGUAUGAUUUAGUGGGAAAUUUAUUUCUUUUCCUUAUCCAUCAUAUUAAGUUAGGCUGCUGUGAGUUGAAUCAACUUCCUAACGGAGGUCUGCAUCAACCAGAGAUAUUUUUUCUUUUUCUUUCAGAUAAUUAAUGCUGAGAUAUCCUUAAAAUACUUCUCCAAUAUCAGUUAUAGUAUAUUCAGUUUCUUUUGUAAAACAUUUUGCAGAUUACAGCUGCUAUCUUGAAUAGCAGGAAGACUUUACCCCUUGAUUGGCUUUACUCAAUAUUGCUAUCAGUUGGUGACCAUAUGAAUCGCCUAAGUUAAUGCUGAACCCAAACUAUUAUUGAAUGUUCGUUUGUGUGUGUGUGUGUGUGUG
RNAcentral lists this unclassified non-coding RNA (773 nucleotides) under Hevea brasiliensis (rubber tree). The record is from RNAcentral. Lineage: Eukaryota; Viridiplantae; Streptophyta; Magnoliopsida; Malpighiales; Euphorbiaceae.